UAUUUUGAGUUUUGUGCAAUUAAUUGAGCAAUAUUUCGUAAAUUUAGAAACUAAGUUAUUUUCUUUGGAAUUCACGAGGCCGGUUUCCUCUAGUCUUCUCGUGACUUCUUUAAUUGGAAACCAAACCCCAUCUUCUUCUCUCUCUCUUCCGUGGUACUCUUAAAAUCCCAAAACCAAUUGCUCCCAAAAACCCCAACCUCGAGAAACCUGAACCCAACUUCUUCCUCUAUCCUCUCGCCCGAGGUUGUCAGAGCUCUACCCUUUUGCCUCGCCGACGUCCUUAGCUUACCGGGAGCCGUGCCGAUCUGCAGUGCUUUGCUUCACUCUCUCCCUCUUCGUCCUCCUCGUGCCCUGAUCCUGUUUGUCAAUGUCCGUCGGUUGCUGCUGCUCGUUGCUCUGUUCGCGGUUGUGGUUCACUGUGACGCAUCACCAGCUUGCUGCUGCAGCUCCGCCUGAUUACUGUCGCUCGUCGGUUCUCCGUCGCUGUGUACCAAAGCUUUGAAACCCCCUUAACCCUCUGUUUUGUGGCUUUGUUCUUCACUCCUCUUGUGAGCAAAGGUUUGGUGUUGUGAGCUCGAAAUUGAAAGUGGAGCAAAAGAUGUUGUUGUAGAUAUGGAUUGACUUUUUAUUUAGAUAACUGAUUCGAAAAUAGUUUUUCUUAUAUUUCAUUGUAUAUACUAUUUGGGAAUUUAGUCGAGUUAUUUGUGUAUUUAAGAAUAUUUUUCCGCUGCGAAAUAAUUUAUUUAAGAGUUAAUUCUAGUUUA
Molecule: long non-coding RNA, 764 nt
Organism: Beta vulgaris subsp. vulgaris (sugar beet)
Lineage: Eukaryota; Viridiplantae; Streptophyta; Magnoliopsida; Caryophyllales; Amaranthaceae
Exons: 2
Source: RefSeq, a predicted model, not a curated record